GAAGGGAAGAACCUCUUAAUAUUGCCAGCUUCUUUAAUAGCAUCAAUAAUCUUAACUUGAUCAGCCAAUUGCAUUGCACCAACAGUUGAUAUCACCACAUCCACUUGUUUUAUAGCCUUCAGCAAACUCUCAUGAUCAUACAAAUCACCAUUAAUAAUAGUGACACCCAAAUUCUUGAAAUUUUCAACAAUUUUGCCCUUAUCAGGAUCAGAAACUGUGGUCUCUCUAACUAAAGCAAAAGUUGGGUGUCCAGAUUUUGCACUAGCUUCAACUACAAAUUUACCAAUAUACCCUGUUCCUCCAAUAAUCAAAACUUUGCUUUUCUCAGCCAUUUGAUAAAAAUAAAACUUAAA
Molecule: unclassified non-coding RNA, 353 nt
Filed under: Hevea brasiliensis (rubber tree)
Lineage: Eukaryota; Viridiplantae; Streptophyta; Magnoliopsida; Malpighiales; Euphorbiaceae
Source: RNAcentral